UACGAGUGGUGCAAACGUUAUUCGGAAUCAUUGGGCGUACAGGGUGCGCAGGCGGUGCGUUAAGUCAACUGUUAAAUUUCCCGGCCUAACUGGGAAUCAGCGGUAGAUACUGGCGUGCUAGAGGGUGGAAGAGAGAAGUGGAAUUCUUGGAGUAGCGGUAAAAUGCGUAGAUCUCAAGAGGAACACCAAUGGCGAAGGCAGCUUCUUGGUCCACAUCUGACGCUCAUGCACGAAAGCGUGGGGAGCAAACAGG
This 253-nucleotide ribosomal RNA is filed under the name uncultured bacterium. Its description in RNAcentral is "partial 16S ribosomal RNA". It matches the Rfam family "Bacterial small subunit ribosomal RNA", at positions 524 to 776 of the family's 1533-position model. The record is from RNAcentral.